AUGACCUCCUGCAGAGAUGCUCGCCGCCUGUGCAGGGCCGUCUGUGCUGAGCUCGUGUCCUCCAGUCGUUGGUUGUCACCUGGUGGGGGUGUGAAGGGACCGGAUGUCUUCUGGAGCUGAAGUUCAGCAGGGCCGUCUGUGCUGAGCUCGUGUCCUCCAGUCGUUGGUUGUCACCUGGUACGUAGUUUAAACUCUCAGUCUGACGUACGAGUCGCUGUGAUGACGCUUUUUCCUGCCAUUCGUAGUUUCCAC
RNAcentral lists this long non-coding RNA (252 nucleotides) under Cottoperca gobio. RNAcentral's name for it is "lncRNA (ENSCGOG00000014748.1)". The record is from RNAcentral. Lineage: Eukaryota; Metazoa; Chordata; Actinopteri; Perciformes; Bovichtidae.